This is an RNA transcript of Ziziphus jujuba (common jujube), 1969 nucleotides long. It is a transcript of the gene named TMV resistance protein N-like, with no coding region annotated. The transcript is spliced from 4 exons. NCBI's taxonomy places the organism in Eukaryota, Viridiplantae, Streptophyta, Magnoliopsida, Rosales, Rhamnaceae. The record is from RefSeq and is a predicted model, not a curated record.
AUUUUUGAAUCUGAUAAAAGGCGUAGAAGAAGUGAAGAUAAUGGUUGGAAACAGAGAGGUGGAGUGUCAUUUUCACAUUGAAAUUAAAGAAACGAUACAAAGUUUAGUCAAUGUAAAUGCUUCUCUGUUUCAAUGGAAUUUGUGGGCUCCACAGCAUGUGCCUUUUCGUAAUUACAAUUCUUUUGAGGGCUUCAAGGAAAAUCAAAGAAGACCUGUUAUCUACAUGCAUGGCUUCUUCUUCUUCUGCUGCUGCUAUCUCCCCUCGAGAAAAGCAUGAAGUAUUUCUCAGUUUCAGAGGCGAGGACACAGGCAAUGGUUUUACUAGCUAUCUUUAUGAUGCUUUAUGCAGGAAGCAAAUCCUAACCUACAUGGAUGAUCACCAACUUGAGAGACGUGUUGAAAUUUCAUCCACACUUCACAAAGCUAUCAAGGAAUCCAGGAUCUCAGUGAUCAUUUUCUCGGAAAAUUAUGCUUCUUCAACGUGGUGUUUGGAUGAACUAGUAAAAAUACUUGAAUGCAAGAAAAGAAAUAGCCAGACCGUCAUAUCCAUUUUUUAUGACAUAGAACCAUCGGUUAUACGGAAACAGGAAGAGAGUUAUGCUGAAGCAUUUGCUAAACUUGAAGAGCGUUUUAAGGAGAACAUGGAUAAGCUAGGUAACACAAUGCAGGCAUGCUCUUGAAGGAGCAUCUGGUCUUAAGGGGUUUAGUUCAAAGCAAUUUAGGCCAGAAAAUACAUUAAUACAAAAAAAUUGUUGAAAAUAUUUCAUUGCUGCUGCAUAAAUAUUCAUCAUCAAAUGCACAAUUCAAGGGGUUGAUUGGAAUUGAAGAAACGUAUUUAGGGAAUCGAAUCAUUAAUUUGCAUUAGCUCAAUGGAUGUUCGCAUUGUAGGUGUUUGGGGUAUGGAAGCCAUUGAUAAGACCACCCUUGCCAGUGCCAUAUUUCAAAAAUUAUCAUCUUCUCAAUUCGAAGGUUGCUGCUCUCUUUGGAAUGUUAAGGAAGAAUCUGAAAGACAUGGACUAAAUCAUUUGAGAAAUAAACUUGACGCGAAGAUACACCAUUUGUUCAAUCAACUUUUUUUCAUGACAGAUUUCGUUGUAAAAAGGUACUCAUCAUUUUAGAUGAUGCGGAUUGUCCAAUCCAAUUAGAAACGUUAAUUGAAGGUUAUGGACAGUUUUCCUCUGGACGUAGAAUUAUCAUUACAACUAGAAAUGUGCAAGUUCUCAAGAAAGUAACGGCCAAAAUUUACCAGGUUGAAGGAUUAGAUGAAACUGAAUCUCUUAUGCUCUUCAAUUUGCAUGCUUUUGGAAAAAAAUCCCUUAGAAAAGAUUAUGAAAUAUUGUCAGAAAUGGUGGCAAGUUAUGCAAAUGGAAAUCCAUUAGCUCUUAGAGUUUUUGGUUCUUUCCUUUGCUCCACAAGCAAAGAAGAAUGGGAAAGUGCAUUAGAUAAGCUGAAAAUAGUCCCAAACCAGGGUACUCAAAAUGUGUUGAGAAUCAGUUAUGAGGGACUAGAUGAUAUAGAGAAGGAAAUAUUUCUUGAUAUUGUAUGUUUCUUUGAGAAAAGUAUACAAGAAAUUAUCAAGUAGAUAGAUUGCCAGGUAGAAAUACACAGAAGGAAAUAUUUUGUUGUUAGAUGUUAUUGUGAGAUUGAUGAGCUCUACGAUAGAGAUCAAGUAGAAAGCAUAGUAGCUGGAAGAGGUUCCUCUUCAAAAAUAGGAAUAAGUGUUCUCAACGAGAAAUCCUUGAUAACCGUUGAUGGUGAUAAUAGAAUAAGGACGCACAAUUUGCUACAGGAAAUGGGAUAGGCAAUUGUUCGUGAGGAACAUAAAUUUCCUGGAAAUCGUAGUGAGUUGUGGAUUGUUGAAGAUGUUUAUCACGUAUUGGAAAGAGUCACACUAAAUUCAAAUACAUUAAUUUUUUCUUUAAAAAAAAUUUUAUUGUAUCUUUUAUUAACUAUGAUGUUAAUUUUUUAU